This 301-nucleotide ribosomal RNA is filed under the name uncultured bacterium. RNAcentral describes it as "partial 16S ribosomal RNA". It matches the Rfam family "Bacterial small subunit ribosomal RNA", at positions 509 to 807 of the family's 1533-position model. The record is from RNAcentral.
CAGCAGCCGCGGUAAUACCGAGGGUGCAAGCGUUAAUCGGAAUUACUGGGCGUAAAGCGCGCGUAGGUGGUUUGUUAAGUUGGAUGUGAAAUCCCCGGGCUCAACCUGGGAACUGCAUCCAAAACUGGCAAGCUAGAGUAUGGUAGAGGGUGGUGGAAUUUCCUGUGUAGCGGUGAAAUGCGUAGAUAUAGGAAGGAACACCAGUGGCGAAGGCGACCACCUGGACUGAUACUGACACUGAGGUGCGAAAGCGUGGGGAGCAAACAGGAUUAGAUACCCCGGUAGUCCCUGUCUCUUAUAC